GGUUCCAUGGAGUAGUGGUUAGCACGUCUGCUUUAUGCGCAGAAGGUCCUGGGUUCGAGCCCUGGUGGAGCCA
Molecule: non-coding RNA, 73 nt
Organism: Pteropus alecto (black flying fox)
Lineage: Eukaryota; Metazoa; Chordata; Mammalia; Chiroptera; Pteropodidae
Source: Rfam